UACACUCCUGCGGGAGGCAGCAGUGGGGAAUUUUGGACAAUGGGCGAAAGCCUGAUCCAGCCAUGCCGCGUGAGUGAAGAAGGCCUUCGGGUUGUAAAGCUCUUUUGUCAGGGAAGAAACGGUGAGAGCUAAUAUCUUUUGCUAAUGACGGUACCUGAAGAAUAAGCACCGGCUAACUACGUGCCAGCAGCCGCGGUAAUACGUAGGGUGCAAGCGUUAAUCGGAAUUACUGGGCGUAAAGCGUGCGCAGGCGGUUUUGUAAGUCUGAUGUGAAAUCCCCGGGCUCAACCUGGGAAUUGCAUUGGAGACUGCAAGGCUAGAAUCUGGCAGAGGGGGGUAGAAUUCCACGUGUAGCAGUGAAAUGCGUAGAUAUGUGGAGGAACACCGAUGGCGAAGGCAGCCCCCUGGGUCAAGAUUGACGCUCAUGCACGAAAGCGUGGGGAGCAAACAGGAUUAGAUACCCGUGUAGUCCCAUG
This 476-nucleotide ribosomal RNA is filed under the name uncultured organism. Its description in RNAcentral is "partial 16S ribosomal RNA". It matches the Rfam family "Bacterial small subunit ribosomal RNA", at positions 332 to 799 of the family's 1533-position model. The record is from RNAcentral.